This 2611-nucleotide long non-coding RNA is filed under the name Homo sapiens (human). RNAcentral describes it as "long non-coding RNA NONHSAT200487.1". The record is from RNAcentral. Lineage: Eukaryota; Metazoa; Chordata; Mammalia; Primates; Hominidae.
CAAAUUCUGCAAGUUUUCUUGUAAAUUUGGCCAAGUACUGCAGAAUUCCUGGAAGACUGCAGAAUACACAUACUCAGAACCAAGAAUGAAGAGACGUUGCGAGCCAUCCCCACUAUGCAGGGCACCAACGGGCUGCCGCAGCCCACUCACAACCUCCUGAAUACAGAAGCAGUUGUGUUUGUGCUUUCUAAACAAAUUAAAGAAAACCGUGUAAAAGAAUUCUUUGCAAUAGUCUUUGCAGAGCAGAGGAAGUACUAGGUCUCUUUCCAAGACUUCUCUCUCAGCCGGAAACCACAGCCACCUUAAUUUACAGUUUCACCGCAGCCAAUGCCCCAUUCGAUCCAAAACACACUGUUCAUCGCGAUUCUUUUAAAAUAUUUACCCAGCCCAGGGUGCGGGUACCGCAGAAACGUCUGUUUUCAGAGAUAGGCAAGUUUGCACAGCAUCCCGACCGCGGACUCUGGGGGAGGAAAUGCUACUUGCUUACCCCAGAGGAACACACAACGGAAUCACGUUAGCGCUAUAGAAAAGUUAUGGAAAGAACUCCCCCAAAGAAGUUUUGACCUUCUUACAACCACCGGCUUUGCCAGAGCCACAGGGAACCCCACCCAGCCAAUAUGCCAAGUACGCAUCCGUGAAGCCGAGGCGCUUCGGGGGGUUCCCAUUCAGGCACCUUCUCCUCCUUGCUCCGCUCCCUUCGUUUCUUUCCCCAAACUUAGCAUCUCCUUCAAAGAAGCCCAGAGCCACGGCCAGCAGCAGCAGCUUAAAGGAGAGCAUCUUCAGCAUCGUCUGCCCAGAGCAGCAGGGGCUGGGCGCGGGAGGAUGGGGGGGAACGCCACUGCCCAGCAGGGGCACUAGGGCGCAGCUCCAGGAGGAGUUUGCGGGGCUGUAGGGCACUCCAGAGACAGAGGGAGGUGGCGGGGACAAAAAUAUGUACAGCGAUGCAACUUUGCAAAAAAUAAAAGACGCGGCGAUGGGUCCAAUGCCUUAGGGGAGCCCGAGGAGCGAGAUAAAGUUGUGCGGAUGACACCGUUUGCAGUUGUGCCAGUGUCAGUUGGGUUGGGGGCUUUCUGCUGCGGCUACAGCCACAGAUGUUCACUUGUCCGUGUAACGGGAGUUGUUUAGGUGGGACAGUAGCAGGAACAGAAACGGCGACGGCGGCGGCGGGGCAGGCGGAGGCAGGGCCAGCGCUGGGCUCUAGAUGAUGCUGAGGUCUCCUCUGCCGGCGGCUGCAGCUUCUCACACAGCCUCUCAUGUUUCGUUCCCUCUUUUCUUCUUCUUUUUAACUAGCGCGCGGGGAGGUGCUGCCACAGCGCGCCCCUUGACGUCACCGCUUCUGCGGCGGGGAGGGGCGGCUAGCCGCGACGGCGGCGGACGGAGGGGGAGGGCCGCGAGCCUUCGGAACCAGCCUCGAGGGUGCUGAACCCCGCGCGCCCGCCUCGCCGCGGCCCCCGGGUGGGGGCGUCCACGGCCCGGGUUCCCGGCGGGCUUGGGGCAGGGACGCAGUCCGGAGAUUCCGGGACUGCCCGGCUGCUGCAGCCCGCAGGCUCCUCUCUCCUCCCCGCUUCCCCUCCGCACUGCCUGGGCUAAAGGCGGCCAAGCUGAGGCUCCGAAAGAAGAGGCAGGGGGACAUCCCAGAUGCCGUUGAGUAGGCUGAGAUGGUUUGGAGACUCAUCCUCGCCGGAGGUCCUGCAAGCCACUGAAGUGGCACAGACGCGUGUGCGCGGAGUGGGGCGGUGUGUCGGGCCACAGGCCAAGCCCAAGUCGGCCUCCCAGAGUGUUUGCCACGGUUUGGGCGGAGGGAAAAUUGCAACCCUUGCCUACAACCAGACUGACAGCAUAAUUUCUUAGGAAUCAAGAAUCAAUACAGGGUUAUUUCUUUAGAUUAAACCUUAAAAGCCCCCUUGGAGGCUGAAGAAGCAGAGGAUAGCCAUGCAUACACUUGAACGUGAAAAAUGGUCCUCUUUCAUUGGAGAGGUCUUCCUCUUCAGCUAAACCGACAGAGUGGUGAAAAGAAGAAGGGACCCCUUGUUGACCAAAAUAAUCCAGACAAAUCAAAUCGGCCCUUUCCAGCAAGGAGUGGAACAGCCCAAGGGUGGCUAGAUCACAUCUUCUGCUCACACCACCACUGAGCAACCCUCUCCAGGACUGCCACCUAUGCAUAGGUCAUGCCCUGUGCAAGAGCACAUAAAGUGGGAGCUGAAGUCCUGCCCAGGCUCCAUUCACCAAGCAGAGCUUAUGUUGUUGUGUGUCUGUGUCUACCCAGAGGAUGUGGGUCCUUUUUAAAAUGUGCACCAAUGCAUCUUGUAUGAGCUGGCACCAGCUCGGACCAUCCCACCCUCAUACCCUGGUCCUAUCCAGGGUUAUAUUCCCUACUUUAGAAGAAUUAAUUAUUUUUAUGAACGUAUUUAGUUUAUUGUAAAAAAUGAAAUAUAUGACACAAAUUGAAAUUAAUUUCAGAGGUAAAGGUCAGAAUAUUACCAUGUAUGUGAAUUAUGUUUGUAUGUAUAUGUAUAUAUCAAGAGAGUUAUAUGAAUAUACAUUUUUGUGUAUCAGAAGUGAGGACAAUUUAACUUUGUUAAGUGUUUGAAAUAAAAUUAUUUUGAGUUUU